UAGGGAAUCUUCCACAAUGGGCGAAAGCCUGAUGGAGCAACGCCGCGUGUGUGAUGAAGGGUUUCGGCUCGUAAAACGCUGUUGUAGAGAAGAAUGACAUUGAGAGUAACUGUUCAAUGUGUGACGGUAUCUUACCAGAAAGGAACGGCUAAAUACGUGCCAC
RNAcentral lists this ribosomal RNA (163 nucleotides) under uncultured bacterium. RNAcentral's name for it is "partial 16S rRNA". It matches the Rfam family "Bacterial small subunit ribosomal RNA", at positions 355 to 511 of the family's 1533-position model. The record is from RNAcentral.